UAAUGAAACCUAUUUUUGUGACUUUGAGCAUUGAGUGCUACUUUGGGAACAAAAACUUGGUUUGGUGCUAUCCUAGUCUUUUUCUUUUAUUAUUAUGCAUUAAUAUAUAUUCAGUUAUCGUUUAUAAAAUGUAAAAUAAAAAUUAUAUUUUAUUUUUAUAUAUUUUAUAAUAACAAUAAAUCAUGUUAAAAUAAACUCUUAUAUUGAACUAAAUAUGAUAAAUCUUAUAUAUUAAAACAGAAGUCAUAACAUUGUUCAUGUGUGAUUUUUU
RNAcentral lists this long non-coding RNA (271 nucleotides) under Brassica rapa (field mustard). RNAcentral describes it as "long non-coding RNA (BRAP_LNC005908)". Lineage: Eukaryota; Viridiplantae; Streptophyta; Magnoliopsida; Brassicales; Brassicaceae. The record is from RNAcentral.